Long non-coding RNA from Oxyura jamaicensis (ruddy duck), 369 nucleotides. RefSeq lists it as uncharacterized. The record is from RefSeq and is a predicted model, not a curated record. The transcript is spliced from 3 exons. NCBI's taxonomy places the organism in Eukaryota, Metazoa, Chordata, Aves, Anseriformes, Anatidae.
UGCAAGAUAACAUUUUAGGAAAGGCUGAGGGAGCUGAGUCUCCUUAGCCUGGAGAAGAGGAGACUGAGGGGUGACCUUAUUCAUGUUUAUGAAUAUGUAAACGGUGACUGUCAGGAGGACAGAGCUAGGCUCUUCUUGGUGACAUCCAAUGAUGGGACAUGGGGCAAUGGGUGCAAGCUGGAAACAGGAGGUUCUGUUUAAAUAUGAGACAAAACUUUCUUAUGGUGAGGGUGACAGAGCACUGGAACAGGCUGCCCAGGGGGAUUGUGGAGUCUCCUUCUCUGGAGACUUUCAACUUCCGCCUGGACACAUUCCUGUGUGAUAUGAUUUAGGUGUUCCUGCUCUGGCAGGAGGAUUGGACUAGAUGAU